UGCGUAGGCGGGCUAAUUAGUCAGUGGUGAAAACCUGCAGCUUAACUGUAGACUUGCCAUUGAUACUGUUAGUCUUGAGUACGGUCAAGGUAGGCGGAAUGUGUAAUGUAGCGGUGAAAUGCUUAGAUAUUACACAGAACACCGAUUGCGAAGGCAGCUUACUGGACCAUAACUGACGCUGAGGCACGAAAGCGUGGGUAGCGAACAGGAUUAGAUACCCUGGUAGUC
This 228-nucleotide ribosomal RNA is filed under the name uncultured bacterium. Its description in RNAcentral is "partial 16S ribosomal RNA". It matches the Rfam family "Bacterial small subunit ribosomal RNA", at positions 568 to 795 of the family's 1533-position model. The record is from RNAcentral.